GUCGUCUGCUGUAUUGUCUAGACUCUAGACUAGUGUUGAGAACGAGACGAAGUUUAAGAUUAUAAAGAAAACAGAACCAUCAAUUUUUGAAAACGUACGUGGCUGCACAAGAAAUUUCAUAGUUAAUGAAAUUACUGGGAUGUGGUCGUCUUGUGGACUGUGUCGGUUAUCUCGGUGUGAACUCGUGUGAACUCUGUCUCGGUGUCGUGGCUCUCCAUGCUCUUCACUCCAUGCUGUUUGGCGGAUUUGAGGCCUGAGCCAAACAUCAUAACAACACAAUAAGCAAGUUUUGCUCAUGCUGGUACUGAAGUGUUGGAUCAACAGUAUCCCAUUUGAUUGGAGAAAGUCAGCACCUUUCCUUGAAUCCCAUCUGUGUCCUCAUGUGGGUGUAUUCACGAGGACCCCAUUUUGCCUAUCCUGCCUGGUGUAUUCAACUUUACUGCACGGAUGGAUGAAGCACGUGGAUGCCUGGCCGUAUUUCCCAGGCUUAAAGGUAGAACAAAAUGUAUUUCUUUUCUUCCUUUUAGACUAUCUGGUGCUGGCGUUGAUUAUUAAUCGUUACACAGUACGGAGUACGAUUAUUCCACAGCUAGGCGAUUGACUGCAACUGUUUUCUCUUGCCGUUUCUAUGUUUACUCA
Daphnia pulicaria is the source of this 639-nucleotide long non-coding RNA. RefSeq lists it as uncharacterized. Lineage: Eukaryota; Metazoa; Arthropoda; Branchiopoda; Diplostraca; Daphniidae. The transcript has 3 exons. The record is from RefSeq and is a predicted model, not a curated record.